UACUUCAGUGAGUUUAUUAAAUCCUCCCUCCGCCAUCCAAGAUUUAUAUGAGCAAAUCUACAACAAUUCGUCAAAUUUAAAAUUGACAUUGUACAAACGAUACGAAUCCAACGUCGAACCGAUAAUACUCACAAUAGUAACAAUCUAUUUGCUCAUUCGCGAUUUUCGCAUGUUAAAUGAGGAUUUCAAUUGGAGACUAUAUGUUAUACUUUUUGUUAUCGCUAUCAAUAUAUAUAUUCCGUGGAUAGUUAUGCUAUCAUUCUUGUGGAAUUAGUGACUAAUUAUCAAAACUGCAGUGAAUAAUUAUCAAAAUUACAAUUGGUACAAAAUUAUAUAUUCGAGCUGAUACUUGAUCCGCUUGAUGUGACCGGUAUUACAAAGGGAUUACAAAGGGAAAACGUAUUUUCAAAUAAAUUUAUAUAUAUAUAUGACAUUUUAUUUUAUUUAUAUAUAUAUAUAUAUCAUAUAUAUCAUAUAUACAAAUAAAUGUCAUUAACAUAUAAAAGAAAUACGUCAAAACUACACAUAAUAAAUUUCACAAAUUGCCAUUCUAAUGAAUUCUUCGUCGAGAACUAUCAAGUCUUUCGUAUGAUGAUAACAUGUUGAAUUGAAUACCGAUCUUUCUAAUAUCGACCUUUAAUUCGACACAUAGACAUCGAUGUUUUGAUAAUUGUUGACAAAGUACGUGAAACCAUCGAUGUUGUCAGACGAAGAAGUAGUCGCGUUCAGUUCUCUUGGUACACAAUGUUUAAUACUUCAGUGAGUUUAUUAAAUCCUCCCUCUGCCAUCCAAGAUUUAUAUGAGCAAAUCUCCAACAAUUCGUCAAAUUUUGAAUUGACACUUGACGCUGUUAAGACUGUGCUAAAUAUAUUGUGUAAACAAUACGAAUGCAACGUCGUACCGAUAAUACUCACAAUAGUAACAAUGUAUUUGCUCAUUCGCGAUUUUCACAUAUUAUAUGAGGACGGAGAUUUCGAUUGGAGGAGAAUAUAUGUUGCGGACAUUAUGUUCAUUUGGUGGCUAAUUCCAGUGGCAUUACGUUCCUUAGACUCAGUUACUGCAGUGAAUACUUAUGAAAAUUACAAUCGAAUUGCAUAUUCGAGCUGAUAAUUGAUCCGCUUGAUGUGACUGGUAUUACAAAGGGAAAAGUAUUUUCAAAUGAAUUUUAAUAUAGAUUGACGUAUAAAACUAUUACUUUUAUACAAGUGUGAUGUAUGUAACUUUUAAGAGAAAGUUGAACACAGUAAAAUACAUAUGAUAGUAAUUUGCAUGUUAAAUAGCAAAUGGUAAAGCUAAGUACAGUGGAUUGUGCGUGAAAACAAAGGAGUCAACAGAGCGGUAGAAAUGAUGAUUGUGCAGAUGUCGUACAUGAGCAUUAAUAUAGCUGGAAUAACGGAACAAAGAAACAGAAUAACUUUUGACGAAACGACUAAAGCCAAUUAAACGACGACCGCAUAAUUGCAAAUGAAAUAAAAUUGCAAUCGAUCGAAAAAUUUAUGCUUAUGGGAAUUUGAAUAGAAUCAAUGUAAUCAGUAAACGAGAUAGAGUCAGAAUUAAAAAUGCAAGAGAGGUCAGAUUAUAAAUUGUUGAAAAUGGAAGUGUAGAAACAUAAUGGAAAUAAUAUACUAAAAUAGGAAAAACUAAAGAUAAGGUAAAAGGAGUACUUUUAGCUAAUAAUACUUAUUUUCUUAUUAUUUCGCACAUGUAUAAAUAUAUGAAUAUGAUAAAUAUAUAUUUAUACUAUAUUUUUUCUAUAUUUAUAAUAUAUAAAUAUAUUUAUACUACAUUUCCAUUACGUUUUUCAUACAUUAGUGAAUGUUCGAAUGUUUGACAGAGAUAUAAAUUUCUUAUCAUUGUGACUGAAUUAUCAUUAAAUUAUCGUGCAAUCCACAACUUUUAUUAUUACUUAAAUUUCGACACUAAGGAAAUUGUAUGGCAAAUAAUUGAAAGUGCAAAUGUGCAAAUAGUCUAAAGUUUUAUUUGACAUAGUCGUAUUGAUAUUACAAUUACGCUAAUAACUAAUUAUACGACAUUAAUACAAACUCCUGUAUGUACAAACUUAUAUCCACUUGUAUUUAAAAUACAUUAUAUCAUUUA
Ooceraea biroi (clonal raider ant) is the source of this 2097-nucleotide long non-coding RNA. RefSeq lists it as uncharacterized. The record is from RefSeq and is a predicted model, not a curated record. NCBI's taxonomy places the organism in Eukaryota, Metazoa, Arthropoda, Insecta, Hymenoptera, Formicidae.